UCCAUCUCAAAAAAAAAAACCAUUAAAAAAAAGUGAGCACUUUAAAUUUCCUUCCCUUAUGUAAACACUUUGAGUAGUUUCACCGGAUUUUUCAGUUAGUUUCAACACCAAGUGAAUACCUCUGACAUGGAAAUUAAAGUUUUAACCAAGAGACUCCAAGCUAAGGCUAAUAUUAAGCCAGAAAGAGGAAGUUAUUAAAGGAAUGAGCGGCCGACUCUGGAGCCCAAGCUGUUGCUUCCCAUCUGGUGGUGAGGCCUCCACUGUCUGGUGAGUGCAAUGUCCGAUGCUAGAGCCCAGGCUGUUGCUUCCCACUCUGGUAGUGAAUCCUCCAUAGUCUGCCACCAGAAAACGCUAUGACUUUGGGGAGAGAAAGAGAUCAUGGCUUCCGAACAAGAUAAACAAGCAGUGCAACUGGCCCUGGAUCUAUGACCCAUUUGGGAUGGUCCCGUAGAACUGCAAGUAACUGUCCUAGAUCAACAUGCUAAUUGGAGCCUUAGGCAGAAACAAGAUGGGAAGAGGUACAUUUCUGGUUUUGGACCCAGAAACUGCCAGAGGCCAGCAAAGCUUAUAACCCUUUCGAGGAGCAAUUGUUAGCUUGCUAUUGGGCUUUGCUGGAAACGAAACACCUCUGCUUCAACCAUGAUGUCUUUAUGAGGCUUGAAAUUCCUAUUAUGACUUGGGUCAUGAGUUCCCCCGAAACUCACCAGAUAGGGCACGCCAAGGGGGAGAACUGGGGGAGUUUCCAUUCCGGGAUUUGGGACGUCCCCAAGUUUCCAGCCUUGGGCUCCAGAGUCAGACACCGCACUCUCCAGGCUGGAAGAUUCUCCACCAGGCCAGGAAGCAACAGCAUGGGUUCCAGAGUGGGACACCCGCACUCACCAGACUAUGAAGGACUCACCACCAGACCAAGAAGCAACAGCCUGAGCUCCAGAGUCAGACACCACCCUCAUCAGACUGUGGAGGAUUCACCACCAGACAGGGAAGCAACAGCCUGGGCUCCAGAGUUGGCCACUCGUCCGUGCACAGACGAGGAGAGGUCUCAUGAAGCUUCGGUGCAGUCUGGGACCACAGCUCUUUAGUAACGAGUUGUUUGGCAUAAAGCCCAGUCACAGGGCUCUUCAGGACAGGGCUUAAGGAACACAAAAAGGGCCUGAGGGGCGGGACCUAAAGCAUUAUCCAAUCAGAGACGCUGGGCUGGAAACCGUCCAAUCAGGCACGCAGCUGGAGCGACGAGGACGGCUUUCCGCUUUUGGCGCGGCCUUUGUCUCUAGCUGCAGCCGGCGUUUCAGGUCUCGUCUUCACUGGUCUGUGUCCUAUUCUCCUGGAGGCCCAGCCUCUGUGGCCCUGUGACCUGCAGGUAUUGGGAGAUCCACAGCUAAAACCCCAGGACACCCUGGAAGCAUAGAAAUGGUUCUGUAGCAGAAAUUGCUGGUGUCUGUGGCAGGGGAGGGCACCUGAGGACAGGGAAGAAGAAACAUAUUUUUAUCUUUAUGGAGCAGCACAUUGUUCCCAAAUACCUUCUGCUUUAAGGGACAGAAAUGGAUGGACUUUUUCUGUCUUUUCUGCCAGUUGAUGUCAUGCUUGCAGGUAAACAUGUGGUACUGACACCCUUAAAGGCAUAUUCUCAAGAGGCAGGUAAAAAACCAAUUCCAAAAAAGUAUUGCAACAAAAGGAAGCACCAAAUAACUAUAAUAUCUUUAUGGCUUGCAAAAAUAUAGGCAGAAAAGGGCUUUCUUUUCUAGGGAAGAGCAAACAAGAUUAGAAAGGAGGUGGGAGAGGAACAGCAAAUGGAGGGUGAAAAAGUCAGAUUUUAGAUCAGAGAAUGGCUUACCCUGAAAUCAGCAUGUUCUUAGGAGGGACAUAAAAUGGGGUUGUAUGUUGACUCAGACUGAGGGUAGCUUGAAUUUCAGGAGCCUGAGAGAAGAUAAACUUAAGUAAAAUUUGAUUAAGAAAUAUUUUAUUUUAGGCUGGGUGUGGUGGCUCAAGUCUGCAAUCCCAGCACUUUGGGAGGCUGAGG
Molecule: long non-coding RNA, 2017 nt
Filed under: Homo sapiens (human)
Lineage: Eukaryota; Metazoa; Chordata; Mammalia; Primates; Hominidae
Description: HSALNT0396549
Source: RNAcentral